CCUACGGGAGGCUGCAGUGGGGAAUAUUGCACAAUGGGGGAGACCCUGAUGCAGCAACGCCGCGUGAGUGAAGAGGUAUUUAGGGAUGUAAAACUCUAUCAGCAGGGAAGAAAAUGAAGGUACCUGAUUAAGAAGCCCCGGCUAACUACGUGCCGGCAGCCGCGGUAAUACGUAGGGGGCAAGCGUUAUCCGGAUGUACUGGGUGUAAAGGGAGCGCAGAAGGCAGUGCAAGUCUGGAGUGAAAGCCCGGUGCUCAACCCCGGAACUGCUCUUGAUACUGGGCGGCUAGAGUACUGGAGGGGCAGGCGGAAUUCCUAGUGUAGCGGUGAAAUGCGUAGAUAUUAGGAGGAACACCAGUGGCGAAGGCGGCCUGCUGGACAGGAACUGACGGUGAGGUUCGAAAGCGUGGGGAGCAAACAGGAUUAGAUACCCGAGUAGUC
This 440-nucleotide ribosomal RNA is filed under the name uncultured bacterium. RNAcentral's name for it is "partial 16S ribosomal RNA". It matches the Rfam family "Bacterial small subunit ribosomal RNA", at positions 338 to 795 of the family's 1533-position model. The record is from RNAcentral.